RNAcentral lists this transfer-messenger RNA (358 nucleotides) under Planctomycetota bacterium. RNAcentral describes it as "Planctomycetes bacterium (groundwater metagenome) transfer-messenger RNA". It matches the Rfam family "transfer-messenger RNA". Rfam says of the family: Bacterial tmRNA, also known as 10Sa RNA or SsrA, is named for its dual tRNA and mRNA-like properties. Its role is to liberate the mRNA from a stalled ribosome. The record is from RNAcentral. Lineage: Bacteria; Pseudomonadati; Planctomycetota.
GGGGGCGACUGGGCUCGACCGGGCGAGAAGACGGGAGGGCCGCGUGCCGAGGUUGUCAGUUGGCCUCGUUAAACAACUGACACAAAACCUUAUAUGCCAACUCUGAGUUGCGCAUGGCUGCGUAAAUAACGCAGCCCGUCCGACUGGAGACGCCUGCUAUGCGGUUCGGACGUCGCCAGCAGGCUGGCCCCCCGGGCGUUGUCCGGCCGUCGGGAGGCGAGAACACAGCUGGAUUGGCCAAUCCCGGAGCCUGUCGAUCGGCGCCGGGGGCGGCGAGAAACAAAUGAUCAGACUACGCACGUAGAGACCCUCUCCGAACCGUCGCGGGACGGGGGUUCGAUUCCCCCCGCCUCCAAUU